RNAcentral lists this ribosomal RNA (213 nucleotides) under uncultured bacterium. RNAcentral describes it as "partial 16S ribosomal RNA". It matches the Rfam family "Bacterial small subunit ribosomal RNA", at positions 28 to 238 of the family's 1533-position model. The record is from RNAcentral.
GACGAACGCUGGCGGCGUGCUUAACACAUGCAAGUCGAGCGAGGCUCCUUCCGUCGGGAGGGAUGCCCUAGCGGCGAACGGGUGAGUAACACGUGGGCAACCUGCCUCUAGCACUGGGAUAACUCCGGGAAACCGGGGCGUAAUACCGGAUACGACCUCUGAGGGCAUCCUCCGGAGGUGGAAAGCAUUGUGGCUAGAGAUGGGCCCGCGGCC